This 528-nucleotide ribosomal RNA is filed under the name Adrastini sp. UPOL RK0027. RNAcentral's name for it is "partial 16S ribosomal RNA". The stretch from base 392 to 528 matches the Rfam family "Bacterial large subunit ribosomal RNA", at positions 2473 to 2610 of the family's 2925-position model. Lineage: Eukaryota; Metazoa; Arthropoda; Insecta; Coleoptera; Elateridae. The record is from RNAcentral.
CAUGUCCUUUUGAAUAUAAUUUAAGGUCUAAUCUGCUCAAUGAGGAGUUAAAUUGCCGCGGUAUUUUGACCGUGCAAAGGUAGCAUAAUAAUUAGUUUUUUUAUUGAAAGCUGGAAUGAAUGAUUGGACGAGAAAAUUUCUGUCUCUUUUUGAACUAUUAUUUAAUUUAACUUUUAAGUUAAAAGGCUUAAAUUUGUAUUAAAGACGAGAAGACCCUAUAGAGUUUAAUAAUUAUUUAAUUUUUGAUUAUUUAGUAUUUUUUAAUUUUUAAUUUGUUAAUUAUUUGGUUGGGGUGACUGGAAGAUUAAUUAAACUCUUCUAAUAAUUUUUAAAUCAUUUAUUUUUGAAUAGUUUAUCUAUUUUUAAUAAAUUUAAGAUAAAUUACCUUAGGGAUAACAGCGUAAUUUCUCCUUAGAGUUCUUAUUAAUGGAGGAGUUUGCGACCUCGAUGUUGGAUUAAAAUUUAUUUUUGGUGCAGAAGCUAGAAUAUUGAGUCUGUUCGACUCUUGAAAUUUUACAUGAUCUGAGU